Long non-coding RNA from Oncorhynchus kisutch (coho salmon), 435 nucleotides. RefSeq lists it as uncharacterized. The transcript is spliced from 3 exons. The record is from RefSeq and is a predicted model, not a curated record. Lineage: Eukaryota; Metazoa; Chordata; Actinopteri; Salmoniformes; Salmonidae.
CUCUGGAUUAUUGACCUCUGCCUACCCAGACCCUGAGUCUGCCUGCCGUCCGGCCCACCCCUCCUCCCGUGUCAUCGAUGACCAUCCGGCGUACACAGUGAGAUGCUUCCUGAGUGUUUGACCACAGGGCAGCGGUUUCCAGUAUCUGGUUGACUGGGAGGGUUAUGGCCCGGAGGAGAGGUGCGGGGUCCCGGCUAGAGACAACCUGGACCCAGCCCUCAUCGACCGACUUCCACCGCCGGCACCCCGCCCUCCUGGUUUUGACCCUUGCCUGCCCUGACUCUGAGACCGCCUGCUUGGCCACUCUGCCUGCCCCUAACCCCGAGCCUGCCUCCCGUCCGGUACAGUUGCCCCACCUCUGGUUUACUGACCUCUGCCUGCCUUCACCUGUCUAUUCCCUUCCUUUGUUGGAUUAUUAAACAAUUUUUAAUUCGA